Molecule: ribosomal RNA, 253 nt
Filed under: uncultured bacterium
Lineage: Bacteria
Description: partial 16S ribosomal RNA
Rfam family: Bacterial small subunit ribosomal RNA
Source: RNAcentral
UACAGAGGUCUCAAGCGUUGUUCAGAUUCAUUGGGCGUAAAGGGUGCGUAGGCGGCGCGGUAAGUCGGGUGUGAAAUCUCGGAGCUUAACUCCGAAACUGCAUUCGAUACUGCCGUGCUUGAGGACUGGAGAGGAGACUGGAAUUUACGGUGUAGCGGUGAAAUGCGUAGAUAUCGUAAGGAAGACCAGUGGCGAAGGCGGCUUUCUGGGCCUUACCUGACGCUGAGACGCGAAAGCGUGGGGAGCGAACCGG